UGACUGAGUCCCAACCCACCCCACCCCAACCCUCUUUAUCGCUGCUCCACCUUUUGUCUCUGACUUCUUUCACUCACUGUCCAUCUUGUGGUGUUGAUAAGACAAUUUGUGGUGUGGAUAAGACAAUCUGACUUGUGGAUGAGACAAUCUGACUUGUGGAUAAGACAAUCUGACUUGUGGAUAAGACAAAAACCCUUUUUGGGCUGUGCAUUGAAAUAUAUCCCCUUGCAUCGGGGCCCAACUGUUGAGACUUCUUUAUUACCUGUUGUGUGGAAUCCAAUUGAGAAAAGUGCAAGACGCGAGCCAUGCCACGCAAAAGCAAGAAGGCGCAAGCUGCCAAGGUAAGCUGGCAACAGCGUAAAAACAACACAGACUCUGGAAGUGCAGAUAAACCAACAACUGCCAAAGAAUUGAUGGCCACUGAACCUGGAAACUCUAUGGAGCUUUCCUGCAGGAGAUAGACAAUGUGACCAGUGCUCACCUGGACCUUGUUCUCGAUCGAGGCAAUGAGCUCUAUGUGGCUACUGUGGCUGUGCUGAAAACAGAAGGGCGGUAUGAACAUCAUCAUUUGGCAACCGAUGAAAUCCCAUCCAUUGUGAAUGGCUUUCACAAACAACAUGUGUUAAUAAAGUAUCAGUCAAUGUA
Long non-coding RNA from Syngnathus typhle (broad-nosed pipefish), 645 nucleotides. RefSeq lists it as uncharacterized. The record is from RefSeq and is a predicted model, not a curated record. Lineage: Eukaryota; Metazoa; Chordata; Actinopteri; Syngnathiformes; Syngnathidae. The transcript has 2 exons.